UUGUAGGUACUUUCAAGAAAUAUAGUUAACUGUAAGUGCUGUAUUUUAAUAAUCUGUCAAAAAUCAAAAUCAUCAGGAUAAUAUUAGGUAUUGAUUUUCAAACAAGAAUUAGAUUACAGCGAUGGUCAAAAGCAUUUAGAUAUUGCUUUGAAAUCUACAGAUAAGGUAUGGCAGUUUCGUUUUAAAGAACAAGAUGUUAAAGUUUAUGAUAAAAUUGUCAUCAGAAAUACUGUCCACUUGCAGUAUUUACAUAAGAAAAUGUUGGAGGAUGAAGCUCUACCUACUGCCUCAGGUUAAUUUAAAUUCUGAGUUGCAACAACAGCAACAAGCAAGAAGGGCACCAUUAAAUGAAUAUUAUACACAUAAAGCAACAACAGAAUAAAAAACCAUAAUAUGAACACCAGCAACUAAAACAGGAACCAUUAAAUGAAUAUUAUAUACGUAUAUGAAA
Sitophilus oryzae (rice weevil) is the source of this 451-nucleotide long non-coding RNA. RefSeq lists it as uncharacterized. The record is from RefSeq and is a predicted model, not a curated record. The transcript has 2 exons. Lineage: Eukaryota; Metazoa; Arthropoda; Insecta; Coleoptera; Curculionidae.